This 747-nucleotide ribosomal RNA is filed under the name uncultured bacterium. RNAcentral describes it as "bacterial SSU rRNA". It matches the Rfam family "Bacterial small subunit ribosomal RNA", at positions 214 to 977 of the family's 1533-position model. The record is from RNAcentral.
AUCGCUACAAAAUUAGCCUGUUUAGGAUUAGAUUGUUGGUGAGGUAAAAGCUCACCAAAUCAAUGAUCUUUAGUCGGUUUGAGAGAAUGAACGGCCACACUGGAACUGAGAUAAGGUCCAGUCUCCUUUCGGAGACAGCAGUGAGGAAUAUUGGACAAUGAGCGAAAGCUUGAUCCAGCAAUAUUGCGUGAGUGAUGAAGACAUAAGUAAAUUCGUUGUAAAGCUCUUUCGUCGAGGUAGAUGAUGACUUGACUCGAAAAAGAAGUCCCGGCUAAUUCCGUGCCAGCAGCAGCGGUAAUACGGGGGGGGCAAGCGUUAUUCGUAAUCAUUGGGCGUAAAGCGCAUGUAGGCGGUUGAUUAAGUUCCAGUUCAAAUCCUAAGGCCUAACCUUAGAUCGAGUUGGAAAACUGAUUAACUCGAGUCCCACAGAGGAUACGUGGAAUUUCUUGGUGAGAGAUCAAAUUCAUAGAUCCUAGAAGGAAGACCAACGGCCGAGGCAACUAUCUAGGUGGAGACUGACGCUGAUGUGCGAAAGCGUAGGGAGCAAACAGGAUUAGAGACCCUGGUAGUCUACGCUGUGAACGAUGAAUGUUAAAUAUUGGAAUAUUUCAGUAUUAAAAGCUAACGCCUUAAACAUUCCGCCUGAGGAGUACGGUCGCAAGAUUAAAACUCAAAGGAAUUGGCGGGGGUCGGCACAAGCGGUGGAGCAUGUGGUUUNAUUCGAUAAAACGCGCAAAACCNUACCAG